Molecule: long non-coding RNA, 531 nt
Organism: Stylophora pistillata
Lineage: Eukaryota; Metazoa; Cnidaria; Anthozoa; Scleractinia; Pocilloporidae
Source: RefSeq, a predicted model, not a curated record
AAUCAUACUGCGGGAGGGGGUCACAGAGUCUACGUGAGAAUUCGCGAUCCAAUGAGUAAAGGGGAUAAGUUUCCAAAGAAACUGUGAUGCUGCGUCGAUGGGAGUAACAAGGUUCUGUUGCCGAGCAAAUCGACGAUCGAACGAAUCAGCGGAGUGACCUCUGGCAGAUUGUCGGUGUGAUGGAAAGAGGUGGUCCAGGAGGAUUUCUGUAGCACAAAGCCUUGCACUAAUGGCUGAGACCAAACACAUUGAAGCCUUGCAGGCUGAGAAAUUUUGUCAACAUGUGAUUUAUCAUAGAGGAAGACCUAUGGUCAUCACUUUGUUCCAUCUGGUAAACUGAUGUGAGGUCACUGACCUGUAGCAGAAAUCCUCAACUCACUCUUUAUAUACCUUUCAGAAAAAAAGAAUGGCAAGAUUUGUUUUUGAUUUGAUUUUAUCAAAGAGACAGAGCAGUUUCUGAUAGUAAUUUAUGAUGUAAUUAGGUUGAAAUUUUUCAUUGAACUUGUGGAAAUAAAGAUUUGAUAAAUUGUA